CCUACGGGAGGCAGCAGUGGGGAAUAUUGGACAAUGGGCGAAAGCCUGAUCCAGCAAUGCCGCGUGAGUGAUGAAGGCCUUAGGGUUGUAAAGCUCUUUUACCAGGGAUGAUAAUGACAGUACCUGGAGAAUAAGCUCCGGCUAACUCCGUGCCAGCAGCCGCGGUAAUACGGAGGGAGCUAGCGUUGUUCGGAAUUACUGGGCGUAAAGCGUACGUAGGCGGUUAUUCAAGUCAGAGGUGAAAGCCUGGAGCUCAACUCCAGAACUGCCUUUGAAACUAGAUAGCUAGAAUCUUGGAGAGGUGAGUGGAAUUCCGAGUGUAGAGGUGAAAUUCGUAGAUAUUCGGAAGAACACCAGUGGCGAAGGCGACUCACUGGACAAGUAUUGACGCUGAGGUACGAAAGCGUGGGGAGCAAACGAGGAUUAGAUACCCUGGUAGUCCACGCCGUAAACGAUGAUAACUAGCUGUUCGGGCUCUACGAGCUUGAGUGGCGCAGCUAACGCAUUAAGUUAUCCGCCUGGGGAGUACGGUCGCAAGAUUAAACUCAAAGGAAUUGACGG
Molecule: ribosomal RNA, 561 nt
Filed under: uncultured bacterium
Lineage: Bacteria
Description: bacterial SSU rRNA
Rfam family: Bacterial small subunit ribosomal RNA
Source: RNAcentral